Acanthosepion pharaonis is the source of this 110-nucleotide non-coding RNA. The record is from the annotation of a GenBank genome assembly. Lineage: Eukaryota; Metazoa; Mollusca; Cephalopoda; Sepiida; Sepiidae.
UGGCUACAUCACAUUGAAACACCGGUUGCCAUACGAUCACCAAAGUUAAGCAAAGUCGAGCCUGGUCAGUACCUAGAUGAGUGAAUGCUUUGGAAUAACCAGGUGCUGUA